UGGGAAAUAUUGCGCAAUGGGGGGAACCCUGACGCAGCCAUGCCGCGUGAAUGAAGAAGGCCUUAGGGUUGUAAAGUUCUUUCGGUAUUGAGGAAGGUUGAUGUGUUAAUAGCACAUCAAAUUGACGUUAAAUACAGAAGAAGCACCGGCUAACUCCGUGCCAGCAGCCGCGGUAAUACGGAGGGUGCGAGCGUUAAUCGGAAUAACUGGGCGUAAAGGGCACGCAGGCGGUUAUUUAAGUGAGGUGUGAAAGCCCCGGGCCUAACCUGGGAAUUGCAUUUCAGACUGGGUAACUAGAGUACUUUAGGGAGGGGUAGAAUUCCACGUGUAGCGGUGAAAUGCGUAGAGAUGUGGAGGAAUACCGAAGGCGAAGGCAGCCCCUUGGGAAUGUACUGACGCUCAUGUGCGAAAGCGUGGGGAGCAAACAGGAUUAGAUACCCUGGUAGUCCACGCUGUAAACGCUGUCGAUUUGGGGGUUGGGGUUUAACUCUGGCGCCCGUAGCUAACGUGAUAAAUCGACCGCCUGGGGAGUACGGCCGCAAGGUUA
RNAcentral lists this ribosomal RNA (547 nucleotides) under uncultured bacterium. RNAcentral describes it as "bacterial SSU rRNA". It matches the Rfam family "Bacterial small subunit ribosomal RNA", at positions 355 to 896 of the family's 1533-position model. The record is from RNAcentral.